CCUACGGGGGGCUGCAGUGGGGAAUAUUGCGCAAUGGGGGAAACCCUGACGCAGCGACGCCGCGUGAGCGAAGAAGGCCUUCGGGUUGUAAAGCUCUGUUCUAAGGGACGAAGGACUUGGCUGUGAAUAAUGGUCAAGGGUGACGGUACCUUAGGAGAAAGCCCCGGCUAACUACGUGCCAGCAGCCGCGGUAAUACGUAGGGGGCGAGCGUUGUCCGGAAUUACUGGGCGUAAAGAGCGUGUAGGCGGGUGUUUAAGUCAGGUGUGAAAGACCGGGGCUCAACUCCGGGGUUGCACUUGAAACUGGGCAUCUUGAGGGCAGGAGAGGAAAGUGGAAUUCCUGGUGUAGCGGUGAAAUGCGUAGAUAUCAGGAGGAACACCGGUGGCGAAGGCGGCUUUCUGGACUGACCCUGACGCUGAGACGCGAAAGCGUGGGGAGCAAACAGGCUUAGAUACCCUAGUAGUC
RNAcentral lists this ribosomal RNA (466 nucleotides) under uncultured Syntrophomonadaceae bacterium. Its description in RNAcentral is "bacterial SSU rRNA". It matches the Rfam family "Bacterial small subunit ribosomal RNA", at positions 338 to 795 of the family's 1533-position model. Lineage: Bacteria; Bacillati; Bacillota; Clostridia; Eubacteriales; Syntrophomonadaceae. The record is from RNAcentral.